RNAcentral lists this ribosomal RNA (203 nucleotides) under uncultured bacterium. RNAcentral's name for it is "partial 16S ribosomal RNA". It matches the Rfam family "Bacterial small subunit ribosomal RNA", at positions 524 to 722 of the family's 1533-position model. The record is from RNAcentral.
UACGUAGGGGGCAAGCGUUGUCCGGAAUCAUUGGCGUAAAGAGCGCGUAGGCGGCCCUGUAAGUCCGCUGUGAAAGUCAAGGGCUCCAACCCUUGGAUGCCGGUGGAUACUGCAGGGCUAGAGUCCGGAAGAGGCGAGUGGAAUUCCUGGUGGUAGCGGGUGAAAUGCGCAGAUAUCAAGGAGGAACACCAAUGGACGAAGGC